RNAcentral lists this ribosomal RNA (484 nucleotides) under uncultured bacterium. RNAcentral describes it as "partial 16S ribosomal RNA". It matches the Rfam family "Bacterial small subunit ribosomal RNA", at positions 30 to 507 of the family's 1533-position model. The record is from RNAcentral.
AUUGAACGCUGGCGGCAGGCCUAACACAUGCAAGUCGAGCGGAUGAAGGGAGCUUUCUCCUGGAUUCAGCGGCGGACGGGUGAGUAAUGCCUAGGAAUCUGCCUGGUAGUGGGGGAUAACGUCCGGAAACGGGCGCUAAUACCGCAUACGUCCUGAGGUAGAAAGUGGGGGAUCUUCGGACCUCACGCUAUCAGAUGAGCCUAGGUCGGAUUAGCUAGUUGGUGGGGUAAAGGCCUACCAAGGCGACGAUCCGUAACUGGUCUGAGAGGAUGAUCAGUCACACUGGAACUGAGACACGGUCCAGACUCCUACGGGAGGCAGCAGUGGGGAAUAUUGGACAAUGGGCGAAAGCCUGAUCCAGCAAUGCCGCGUGUGUGAAGAAGGUCUUCGGAUUGUAAAGCACUUUAAGUUGGGAGGAAGGGCAGUAAGUUAAUACCUUGCUGUUUUGACGUUACCAACAGAAUAAGCACCGGCUAACUUCGUG